AGUGAACGCUGGCGGUAGGCCUAACACAUGCAAGUCGAACGGCAGCACAGUAAGAGCUUGCUCUUACGGGUGGCGAGUGGCGGACGGGUGAGGAAUACAUCGGAAUCUACUUUUUCGUGGGGGAUAACGUAGGGAAACUUACGCUAAUACCGCAUACGACCUACGGGUGAAAGCAGGGGAUCUUCGGACCUUGCGCGAUUGAAUGAGCCGAUGUCGGAUUAGCUAGUUGGCGGGGUAAAGGCCCACCAAGGCGACGAUCCGUAGCUGGUGUGAGAGGAUGAUCAGCGACACUGGAGCUGGGACACGGUCCAGGCGCCUAAGGGAGGCAGCAGUGGGGAAUGUUGGGCAAUGGGGGCAAGCCUGGUCCAGCCAUACCGCGUGGGUGAAGAAGGCCUUCGGGUUGUAAAGCCCUUUUGUUGGGAAAGAAAAGCAGCAGGUUAAGACCCCGCUGUUCUGACGGUACCCAAAGAAUAAGCACCGGCUAACUUCGUG
This 492-nucleotide ribosomal RNA is filed under the name uncultured bacterium. Its description in RNAcentral is "partial 16S ribosomal RNA". It matches the Rfam family "Bacterial small subunit ribosomal RNA", at positions 29 to 507 of the family's 1533-position model. The record is from RNAcentral.